Molecule: ribosomal RNA, 444 nt
Filed under: uncultured bacterium
Lineage: Bacteria
Description: partial 16S ribosomal RNA
Rfam family: Bacterial small subunit ribosomal RNA
Source: RNAcentral
GUAGGGAAUAUUGGGCAAUGGUCGGAAGACUGACCCAGCCAUGCCGCGUGCAGGAAGACGGCCCUCUGGGUUGUAAACUGCUUUUAUCUGGGAAGAAAAAGGCCAUGCGUGGCAAAUUGCCGGUACCAGAUGAAUAAGCACCGGCUAACUCCGUGCCAGCAGCCGCGGUAAUACGGAGGGUGCGAGCGUUGUCCGGAUUUAUUGGGUUGAAAGGGUGCGUAGGCGGCUGAUUAAGUCAGCGGUGAAAGACUUCGGCUUAACCGGAGCAGUGCCGUUGAUACUGGUUGGCUUGAGUGUCGGAGGGGUACAUGGAAUUGAUGGUGUAGCGGUGAAAUGCAUAGAUACCAUCAGGAACACCGAUAGCGAAGGCAUUGUACUGGCCGACAACUGACGCUGAUGCACGAAAGUGUGGGGAUCGAACAGGAUUAGAUACCCGGGUAGUCC